This 7742-nucleotide long non-coding RNA is filed under the name Lactuca sativa (garden lettuce). RNAcentral's name for it is "long non-coding RNA (LSAT_LNC000794)". The record is from RNAcentral. Lineage: Eukaryota; Viridiplantae; Streptophyta; Magnoliopsida; Asterales; Asteraceae.
CUAACUUCGAUUUUGGGUUUGAUCUUCAAGAUCACCAAGAACACAUAGUGGUUCUUAGGCUGUGAACUCCUCUUCAAACUUCCAAAUUGUAAGUAUCCUUCCAUAUAUCUUAGAAACCCUGAAUAUGCACCAAGAAACAACCGUUUUGCAUGAUUUUCCAGGAGUUUACGGUUGUAAACUUCUUGAUUGUAAAAACCCAAGACCAUAAACACCCUAGACCGUAAACACCCUAGACCGUAAACCUCUAGGACUGUAAACUCUAUGAACGUGAACUUAGUGGCCGUAAACACCCUUUUUGUCAAUCACACGUACAAUGAGUCUUGUCAAUAACAGUUCAAGUACAAUACUAGUAAAAUAUAAGGGGUAUAGUUUAGAGGUUCCAUUCACACUAGAUACUAGAGCAUACUAUAAAGAGAAACAGGGAGGUAUAUACAAUACAUCAGAGAGACAUACUAUACACUAUACAUGAUAACAGAAGGAACAUACUAAGAUACUAUAAUAGAACGAACUUACUAAGAUGCUAUAUCAUGAGAACUACUACAGGAUCUAACUAUACCAAUGAUCACUAACACAUUGUUCUAAACAAAAGGUGACAAUAAAUUGGAUAUACAUGAUCAUAUUGUUGGAUUAGUGUCUAAGUCCAUAACUAUUUUGGUAUGUACUUGACCCGAUGGUGCAUGGUCCUUUUGGGUUGCCUUCACCAAAGCAACUUGAUAGGAUGAAUUAUGGAGAGAGAGGAUUGAUUAUAAUUUAUUAAUAUGUUAUGAGAAUAAUAUAUUAAAGGAGAAAUCAUAUUGUUUAAUUAAUAUUAGUCAAGAAUUAAUUGGUAAUUAGUUUUGUGGCUAAAAGAGAUUAAUUAAACUUAAGGGACUAGAAUUGUAAUUAUAAGAUAAUUGCAAUUGGGCUAUGGAUUACCUUAUAAUAUAAGGUUAGACGAAUUCUAUGGGGAAACCCAUUAGAAAUCGUCCAAGGCUUAUUAAAGAAGGGUACAUGGGCUGCUUAGGGCUUAAGCAGUCAGUUUAGGGUUUCCUAGUUCAAAACCCUAAUAGCCUACAUGUAUAUAAAGGACCCUUAAGCCCCAAAAACGUGGUGGACAUGCUCCUUAGGGUUUUCACACGUUUUGGGCAGCCUCCUUCUCUUCUCCUCUUCAUCCUCAUGCUCUUGGUGUUUGUGAACCAUUAGAGGAGUGACAUUUGUGACUCUAAGCUUUCUAAAGUCAUUACAAGGAGGAUUUGAGAUUGUUAUUGCUACAUAACAAUCAAGGUAAUAUCUUAAACCCUAUUUUAUGUUAAUAUGAUUAAUUUCAAGCUAGAUCUAGGGUUUAUAGCUUUGGAUAAUCAAUUGCAUGUUCAUUAGACAAACUAGAUACAAAAGCUAUUAGGGUUUUCAUGUACACUAUAGGAAUGAUGGAUAGUCUAAAACCCAUCACAUAUAACUUUAAUGUGGAUUACACGGCCUAGCAAUUUGUUUGCUGAAGUCGCGUUUGGUUCCCAGAAUCUUUUGACAGCGAGAGCGUUUAGUAUGAGAACUAGCCUUCACAUUAUGACCUUUAUAAAACAAAUAUGUUUUAAGGUAAUCAGUACGUCAGGAUGUCAAUUAAAAAGACAACUGGGUACUUACAUUUUCCCAUUACUUUCAUAUUGUGACAGUUCCACUUGAAAGUUAAUGCAAACUAUUUUCGAGUUAAGAUAGUUAUAAACUAGGGAAAACUUACAUUUUACAAACGAAAAACAGAACAAUAGAGUCUAGUACAUUGAGUAGAAAGGGACCAUAAUGCUAACCUUAUGAUUCCUUAAUGCAUACAUCAAGGGAUAUAUAUUAAUAGGAUCCGACAGGCAAUAGGAUGUGUGCUUUCCGCUUCAUUUCCUGUUCCUUGUUUGGUUGUAGGCUUAGAGCGGAUUAACCCAACCUAUUAUCCAUUCGAUCUUAGUAAUAUAUAUGUUUCGUAUACAUUAAGUCAUCAUAAGGGGUACCAGGUAUGGGUCAGGUCAUAGGACACAAAUUCAAUGCACAGUUUUGUAUUACAGAACAUACGUACUUUUCAAAUAGAACAUUUGGUAGACAAAACAAGAAACUUACUAGUAAAGGGUUUAAUCCAUUUUAUUAAACCAGUAUAACUUAAAGGACCUUAGGUGAUUAACUCUAUAAUACCUUAGUCUAUACAUCAGGGUUAUAUAUAAUUAAUACCUGAUAGGUAGUUGGAUGUGUGUUUUCCGCCUUACUUCUUGUUCCUUGUUAGGUUGUGGGCUUAGGGAAGAUUCACACAAUUAACUAUCUAUUCGAUAUUAGAUUUUAUAUAACCAGUAUAAACUAAGUGAUUAUAGAAGUAACCACCGUGGUUAACAUUUUUAUUAUAAGAAAUAAGGGUUUUCAUAAAUAAUCUUUUAAACAAAUAUAAAGGAACUAUUACAAUUAACUCCGUGAGUACCAAGUGAUUACGUCAGGGUUAUAUACAACGACGACCUAAUAACCAAUGGGAUGUGUGCCUUCCGCUUCAUUCCCUGUUCCUUGUUUGGUUGUAGGCUUAGGGCAGAUACACACAAUCAAUUGUUUGUUUACUCUGAGUUCUAUAUAACUUGUAUCCAUUUAGUACUCAUAAAAAAGAAUUGUAGAGUCAUUUUUACUUAUCUUUCAUCAAAGUAAGAAAUAUAGGAUUUUCAGAAGCAACAGGAGAACUUUUCUAAACAAAACUUACAAUUUACUACAACUUACUAAACUUUCUUACAACUUACUCGCAUCACUAGAAUCUUAUGAAUUCACCAGCUAAAUUGCUGAUCAACUCUUUCAAAAUAACUUGUAUUCUCAAGAAACUAGUAGACAGGUACUCGCACUGGGAAUUCAGAAGAUGGAGCAGUAUAGCUCCAAGUCUUGUUUUGUUAUUUACAUAUGUAUUCUAUGUUUGGUGAACACAUACAUAGUAAACACUUUCAUUCUAAUGAAAUGGUUGUUUAUUACUUUGAUUACUCUGAUGCAUGCUGUAACGCCUGUGUUUCUGGGUUUGUCAUUAAUAGCAAUGUAAUAGUCUAGGUUAACCUUUGUAACUCGUUUCAAAAUAAUAGAAGUGUAUUAUUUGAGUUUAUGUGUUUUGUGCUUAACUGUGUGACUUAAAUGAAUCAAGGAUAAAAAUAAGCGUCAAAAUGAAAUGUUAGAUAAUCCCGAUAUCUAUGAAGGAUGUGGUAGUGGUCGUGACGAGGUUUCCGAAUAUAUAAAGAAUGUCGAAUGAUGCCGAAUGACAUAAAAUACGAAUCUAAGAUAGAGCGAUAUCUAGCCUUAUUAAUCUAAACGAAAGUCGUGGAGUUCGUUAAAUCAAGAGCGUGCAUAAAAAGAAUGCCCAAAUCUAGCUUCGUAUGAGGAAGUUAUGAUUUUUUGAAGUUUCGACUUAGUGGUAUGCAACCCGAAUACUCGAAAUAGAGAUCGAGUGAUUUUUAGCCAAAAAAAUCUAAACGAAAAUCGAAGAUCCCAUUAAUAGUAGUGAAACGAUAAAAAGAUAGGUGAAAAUGGACGUCAGAUGAAGAAGUUAUGAAUUUAUAACGGAGUUUUCCUGUUCCGGCCUACUAAAAAUAAUAUAAAAAUAAUAUAUUUAUAAUAUAUUAAAAAAUAAAGUCAAAAUUAGCCAACGCAGUCUAAACGAGAGUUGUAGAUCAUAAUCUCGCCUACGUGUGGAUAUAAAGAACGUCGAAAACGGAGCUCGUAUGCGAAUGUUAUGAAUUUCUGAAGUUCGGGGUGUGAACCCCAAGGUUGAGUCAGUUCACGAGGUGAGCAUUAGUGACUCACGAGGUGAACAGAUGAUGGACAUCUAGCAGGGCAAGUGGCCAUGAUGAACGCAAUGACGUAUCGAGCUCACGAGGUGAAUAUUAGAAACUCACGAGGUGAGUAAGUUCACAAGGUGAAUAUUAAAAACUCACAAGGUGAACUCAGAAAAUUCACCCAAUAAAUAGAAAUCGAGGGUCAACCAAUUUAGGUUGCUCAUAUCUUACUCUCCCACUCCCGAUACUCUCUCUAAGCCCUAUUUUAACCCCCCGAAGCCCCGAUAUCAUCCCAAUACCCGAAGCGAGUCCCAAAGCCCGAAGAUCCCGAGAAGAAAAGAGUUCCCGAGCCGAAGCUCUGCCCGCGAGAAGUUCGAUUUUUGUGAAGAUCUUCUAGAUCUACCGAUGAAUACUACUUCUACAAGUCGUAGUGCUGUCCGAUCAUCUUCUGAUCAAGUGAGUGUGUAUUUACUUUCUUCUAACGCAUAAUUACGAAGUAUUUUAUAUGAAAUACGUGUUAUGUGUAUAUUUUGUUGUUAUAUGUGUGAAUGUAUAUUCACUUUCUUCUAUCUCAUAGAUAUGAUUUAUUCUCUAUGAAAUAUGUGUUAUGUGUGUGUGUCUCAUCUGUUGUUUGGAAUAUGUAUUGAAUGAGAAUGUUAUACAGGUUUUAAACUAUGUAUAAAAAUAUAUAUUUUUAUCUACUAAUAUGUUGGGUAGAUAGUUGAUGUGCGAUAAACAGAUGAGAGGUCUCGAUGUUGUUGUUGUUGAUCUAGUUAUUCAGCGGAGUAUGGAUAACGACCACAGACUCUUUCUAGACAGUCCUGUGGAACGCUAGCAGGUUCAUAAUCUAUAGGUGUUGUGAACGAUGUGUUCACCGGUGUACUCUAUCCCCCUCAUGGUUGCCUUUAGGAUAUCUAUUGUUGAGGAAACCCCUUAAGAGUAAUGUCCAUCCCGACGAAAUCCUAGAUAGGUCCCUAGUAAUAGAUGUUGUUUUAGGGACGUAAAGUGAGGAUAACAGGAAUGGGUAAUUGGGUUAUUGUUGGUUGGUGAAAUUAAAUAUAAUUAUUUAUUGUGGGUUGAAAACCCUAUAUGCUCACCAGGCUCCCAAGCCUGACCCACUCAGUCUUAUUUGCAUUACAGGAAGUGGCGCGAGGGCAUAAGAUGGAUGAAUCAUCAAGUUGUUUUGUUUAUGAGCCUGUAUAUGUAUAUAACUGUUGUAUGGCUUGUAAUAUGUCGUUUAUGCAUUUUGGUCUGUAUCAGAACAUGACAUCCCGAAUAUUGUUAUAUAAUGAAAACGCAUCUCUUGAUGAAAUGCUUUGAUAAACUUUAUUUUAUCAUAUUUUGUUUUGGGAACAAAUUCUGCAACUCUUUUAAAUCAAAAGGAUUUACUUUGAAAUUAUUUUAAAAGCAUAAAUGAAAUCGGUCUUUUUUGGCCGUGAUUUUGGGGAUGUCACACAUGCCUUGUGAUACUAAACAUGACGUCGUCCACCCCCGAACGUUUCCGCCGUUCCGGUUUUGGGGUGUGACAGAUUGGUAUCAGAGCAUUGUUUAUAGUGAACUAAGUAUAUCAACCAAUAAAAGAUAUACAACUAUAAAUACAAUGGGGCUUAAGUGCUCUGGAUAAUAAUAUAUUUUAUGAGUAUAACAAUAAGUUAUAAAAAUAUACCUACUUGCUUAUACAUGUAUACAUACUAGAACAAGUAUCACAAGAAGAACAGAACAAAAGUAUAUAAAGGUUGAACAUUGCGGUCAAACCUGGACAGUUAUGUAAUCACAACUAGGAUCAAUAUAACCUUAUCAACUAUAUUCAUUCGACAUGUGUUUGGGAGUGAUGUGGUGUUGCAACAGUCUUAAAACUUACCUAACACCAGUCAAGAGAAUUCUAGAUCAAGUACAUAGAGUUAGAGUACUAUAGGAGUAUUCUAGGAUACUAUAAUACGAUAACAAGUUUGAAACAUACCAAUUACAUUACAUUAAAAUACUAUAGGAGUAUUUUAGGCACUAUAUAAAUAACUUAUGUGAUAACUUAAAAGACCCUUACUGAUAGGUCUCUAAUCUUGCAAUGUAUACUCCCAAGGUUUUAUAUAACUGAGAUUUUAUAGACUUAGAAUUUAUGAUAUACGCUUCACUACCUAUUACUUGUUUGGUUGUGGUUUUGGAGUAGGAUCACUUAUUUGAAGGUCUAUUUCAUCUUGAAUUAUAUACAACUUGUAUACAUUGUACAAUUAUAGAAGGACUCUGUAAGGAUCGCCCCAUAAUGUUACCCUAAAUCUCAUAGAGUCUUUAGUCAAAUCCAUUCUCGCACAAUAAACCCAUAUAAUGUAACCACUUCCUCAUAGUAGUCAACAGAAGAGUCAAGGAGGAACAAGAGUAAGUUCAAGAGAAGUUUUCAAGGAGGGAUCAGCCGAAGUAACCAAAACGUCAUAUGCGUCACACUAAUAAAUAAUAAUCUUGGUUAACUUAAUGAGUUAGUGGAAACACUGCUCAUAUUAUGUGUUAGGAUUAUUUUCUUAGAUGCAACUGGUAACAGUUAUUCACAUUAUGUGUUAGGAUUAUUUUCUUCAAGAGUAAAUUACUAAAAUCGUCCCUAUGGUUUUGUCAAAAUUUCACGUUUGGUCAAUAACCUUUUCUUUGCACUCGGACCGUCCCUAUGGUUUGAUUUCGUUGCGUUUUUCGUCCCUAUAGCUUGGUCAAAAUUGCAUAUUUGGUCCUUAAUUUUAUGUAUGUAAGGGACGAAAAACGCAAAAAAAUCAAACCGUAGGGACGAUCCGAGUGCAAAAGAAAAGUUAGGGACCAAACAUAAAAUUUUGACCAAACCAUAGGGACGAUUUUAGUAAUUUACUCUAACAGAUAUUCAUUCGAGGAUAGCCAUUCCAAAUUCAUAAAGGUUAUUAGGUGUAGACUCUUUUAUGAAUUGUUUCUAGAACCCUGUGGAAGUCAGGACCUGAAACAUUCAGAACUAGGACAACCUUGUCUUUCGAGGUUAGUAUGUGUGUUUCCGCCCUAUCUCUUGUUCCUUGUUUGGGUGUGGACCUUAGGCAGAUUCGCACAUCCGACUGUCUAACUAAUCUUAAUUAUAUAUGACUUGUAUACACGAGGUAAUGACAGGUGGACCAAAGUAUGCAUCCUAUCAUGAACACUAAGGCAAAGUUGCCAGGUCUGCGAGUGAGUAUUCUGCAAAUCAGAGGAGCGCAACCCCAGUAGUACUGUAAGAAAGCUAAUUUCGGGAUGAAAUUCCAUCUAACGGGGGGAUGAUGUGACAACCCGAAAAUGUUUGUUCUGAAAACUCAGUCAGUCAACUCAACUGAAUGUCAGACUCACUUCUAAUGAGUUCUAGGCUUGUUAAAGGUCAUUCUAAGGAGUUUUAGCUUAGUACACUCAUGGAAUAAGUGUUUGGAAGUAUCAGCGGAAGCUCUAAGCCAUCCAGCAAACCGUAAACCUCUUCAUGAGGAGUUUACGGUCAGUACCCAUGAUUUUACGGUCAGGGUGACCGGAAACUCCCUCAUNUAUAUAUAUAUAUAUAUAUAUAUAAUUUAUGAUCAUUUUGAUCAUUUCUACCCUUUACAACUCUAGAAACUUAAAUUCUCUCUCAAGUAUCAAAGGAUCAUCCCUCAAAUCCUCGAAAAUGUAAGUAAUUCCUUCCAUUCUAUGAGUUCAUACAUCUUUUCUUCUUGAUUCACCCAUUGAUUUCAUCCACUAACUUCGAUUUUGGGUUUGAUCUUCAAGAUCACCAAGAACACCAAGAACACAUAGUGGUUCUUAGGCCGUGAACUCCUCUUCAAACUUCCAAAUUGUAAGUAUCCUUCCAUAUACCUUAGAAACUCUGAAUAUGCACCAAGAAACAACCGUUUUGCAUGAUUUUCUAGGAGUUUACGGUUGUAAACUCCUUGACUGUAAACACCCUAGACCGUAAACUUCUAGGACCGUAAACUCUAUGACCAUGAACUCAGUGGCCGUAAACACCCUUUUUGUCAAUCACAUGUGAUUCAACACUUC